RNAcentral lists this ribosomal RNA (414 nucleotides) under Nannocystaceae bacterium. RNAcentral describes it as "Bacterial small subunit ribosomal RNA". It matches the Rfam family "Bacterial small subunit ribosomal RNA", at positions 1 to 416 of the family's 1533-position model. The record is from Rfam by way of RNAcentral. Lineage: Bacteria; Pseudomonadati; Myxococcota; Nannocystales; Nannocystaceae.
AAACUGGAGAGUUUGAUCCUGGCUCAGAGCGAACGUUUGCGGCGGGCCUAACACAUGCAAGUCGAACGGGCAGGGGUAACCCUGUCAGUGGCGCACGGGUGCGUAACACGUGGGUAAUCAACCCUUUGGACUGGGACAACCCGGGGAAACUCGGGCUAAUACCGGAUGUGGUGCAGUGGUCCUCGGACCGUUGCACGAAAGCCUCGCAAGGGGCACCAGAGGACGAGCCCGCGGCCCAUCAGCUAGUUGGUGAGGUAAUGGCUCACCAAGGCUAAGACGGGUAGCUGGUCUGAGAGGAUGAUCAGCCACACUGGAACUGAGACACGGUCCAGACUCCUACGGGAGGCAGCAGUGGGGAAUAUUGCGCAAUGGGCGAAAGCCUGACGCAGCCACGCCGCGUGAGCGAUGAAGGCC